GUCCUGGCUGCAACUCAGUGUUUGACAUCUGAUGGACUCCUCUAUGAUGUGGCGUGUCCUGGUGUAAACGGCGAGCUGCAAUGUCCUCCGGGACAAGUGAUGGAAGUGAAGGCAGUAGAAUCUGGUUUGGAAAGCGAUGCCGACUGCACCGACAGAACAAAGUCCG
Pseudoliparis swirei is the source of this 166-nucleotide long non-coding RNA. RefSeq lists it as uncharacterized. Lineage: Eukaryota; Metazoa; Chordata; Actinopteri; Perciformes; Liparidae. The record is from RefSeq and is a predicted model, not a curated record. The transcript has 3 exons.